GCAGAAAAAUUGCUGGACUAGAGUUGUCUUAGGUCCAGAAGACCCCCUGCUGACUAAACAGGCCUCAGAUUUUUUGAAAAAAAUGCAGAGGAUAUGGUCAAAUUCCUAGGAUCUAAGUGACUAAGUGGACUAGAGAUGUACCCUCUAAUAUCAAUAAAACUUCAGGGAGACCAUCCUGGUAAUGGAAGUUUUCUGAACAAUCAGUGAAUGUGCCCAGCUCCUGUGAUCUUCCAGGCUCUGAAUGCUCUAGGCCAGUUUAUCAUCAGGCCAGUCAGGUUUUUCAGAAAUUUUGGUUCUUAAUGGAAGAAGAAUCAGUCAUUGAGAUUAUUCUUGUUGUGGCAGACUGCGGUGUCCACCAAAAUCCAUUCUCCCUUUUUUCCUGGUACAACUAG
This 392-nucleotide long non-coding RNA is filed under the name Papio anubis (olive baboon). RNAcentral's name for it is "lncRNA (ENSPANG00000048465.1)". The record is from RNAcentral. Lineage: Eukaryota; Metazoa; Chordata; Mammalia; Primates; Cercopithecidae.